This 106-nucleotide small nucleolar RNA is filed under the name Brassica napus (rape). RNAcentral's name for it is "Plant small nucleolar RNA R71". It matches the Rfam family "Plant small nucleolar RNA R71". From Rfam's summary of the family: R71 is a member of the C/D box family of snoRNAs containing the C (UGAUGA) and D (CUGA) box motifs. Multiple nearly identical copies of this snoRNA have been identified in Arabidopsis, and it is thought to function as a 2'-O-ribose methylation guide for 18S ribosomal RNA. The record is from Rfam by way of RNAcentral. Lineage: Eukaryota; Viridiplantae; Streptophyta; Magnoliopsida; Brassicales; Brassicaceae.
AACCCAUGAUGAGGACACUCUCUGAGGGUAUCAUUGAACCGUCCCAAGCUUCGUUGAAAGGUUCACUAGGGAGUUGCUUGAAGGAGGAAAUCUUGUUCCGUAGGGC